GGGCCUGCAAUUAAGGCGAUUAACUCCGCAGUUAGUAUGGCGUUAAAUUUCAGUCAUGAAUGCGGCGAUUAUUACGACAAUAACUACGCACAAUGAUUAUGAUUAUAAGUGCGUAAUGAAUGACUAUCAUAAAUACGCAAUGAAUGACGGUAGUAAGUACGCAAUGAUUAACUGUUAUUAGUGCAGCAAUAAUUGUCAUUAUAAGUGUGUAAAUAAAUGCUGCCAUCAAAGAAGAAAUAAUGGCGGCUUGUUCCCGAAGUAAGUCAUCGCCUAUAUAAAGGAGGCUUGAUGUCCAGGUAAUCCAUCUCAUUCCGACUAUUUGUACUCCACUAUUAAGAAACAUACUGACUUAGGCAUCGGAGAGUUUUCUGCAGGUACCCCCCCUUCUCCUCGAGCUGACGGUCAAACUCCAGGUCAACGCUCGAGGGAAGCUUCUCGAUUGUUCCCGGUCAGCUCCCGCUCCAGUCCGCAUUAAUUGUUGGGUCAAACUCCUCUACGG
RNAcentral lists this long non-coding RNA (499 nucleotides) under Rosa chinensis. RNAcentral's name for it is "sRNA RchiOBHm_Chr1g0370171". Lineage: Eukaryota; Viridiplantae; Streptophyta; Magnoliopsida; Rosales; Rosaceae. The record is from RNAcentral.